UACGGAGGAUGCAAGCGUUAUCCGGAAUGAUUGGGCGUAAAGCGUCCGCAGGUGGCUAUGUAAGUCUGCUGUUAAAGAGUGAGGCUCAACCUCAUAAGAGCAGUGGAAACUACAUGGCUAGAGUGCGUUCGGGGCAGAGGGAAUUCCUGGUGUAGCGGUGAAAUGCGUAGAGAUCGGGAGGAACACCAGUGGCGAAGGCGACUACCUGGCCUGUUCUUGACGCUGAGGCGCGAAAGCUAGGGGAGCAAACGGG
RNAcentral lists this ribosomal RNA (253 nucleotides) under uncultured bacterium. RNAcentral describes it as "partial 16S ribosomal RNA". It matches the Rfam family "Bacterial small subunit ribosomal RNA", at positions 524 to 776 of the family's 1533-position model. The record is from RNAcentral.